GCGAGAGUGGCGGAAUGGCAGACGCACUGGACUCAAAAUCCAGCGACCGCAAGGUCAUGAGAGUUCAAGUCUCUCCUCUCGCA
Molecule: transfer RNA, 83 nt
Filed under: Omnitrophica bacterium RIFCSPHIGHO2_02_FULL_46_11
Lineage: Bacteria; Pseudomonadati; Candidatus Omnitrophota
Also listed under: 1 other name
Description: tRNA-Leu
Rfam family: tRNA
About the family: Transfer RNA (tRNA) molecules are approximately 80 nucleotides in length. Their secondary structure includes four short double-helical elements and three loops (D, anti-codon, and T loops).
Source: RNAcentral